GUCGGCCUACGGGGGGCAGCAGUGGGGGAUAUUGCACAAUGUUUUAAACCCUUAUGCAUCUACUCCUCUUUGGCGAAGAAGUAUUUCGGUAUGUAAAGCCCUAUCAGCAGGGAAGAAGAAAUGACGGUACCUGAGUAAGAAGCACCGGCUAAAUACGUGCCAGCAGCCGCGGUAAUACGUAUGGUGCAAGCGUUAUCCGGAUUUACUGGGUGUAAAGGGAGCGCAGGCGGCACGGCAAGCCUGAUGUGAAAGCCCGCGGCCCAACCGCGGGACUGCAUUGGGAACUACCGAGCUGGAGUGCCGGG
RNAcentral lists this ribosomal RNA (305 nucleotides) under uncultured bacterium. RNAcentral's name for it is "bacterial SSU rRNA". It matches the Rfam family "Bacterial small subunit ribosomal RNA", at positions 334 to 653 of the family's 1533-position model. The record is from RNAcentral.